This 139-nucleotide small RNA is filed under the name bovine gut metagenome. Its description in RNAcentral is "Clostridiales-1 RNA". It matches the Rfam family "Clostridiales-1 RNA", at positions 26 to 159 of the family's 166-position model. The record is from RNAcentral.
GACGCGGCGUGCUUGCACGCCUGCGGAUCUGGGCACUAGCGACGACAACAGGUAUGAGCAAGGAAUGACGCGCAAGCGGUAUGAGAUUGCGAAUGCCUGUAGGAUUACGGGAGCUGCGAAGCAGCGGAGCAAUCCGUCG